Molecule: small nuclear RNA, 131 nt
Filed under: Cavia porcellus (domestic guinea pig)
Lineage: Eukaryota; Metazoa; Chordata; Mammalia; Rodentia; Caviidae
Description: U2 spliceosomal RNA
Rfam family: U2 spliceosomal RNA
About the family: U2 is a small nuclear RNA (snRNA) component of the spliceosome (involved in pre-mRNA splicing). Complementary binding between U2 snRNA (in an area lying towards the 5' end but 3' to hairpin I) and the branchpoint sequence (BPS) of the intron results the bulging out of an unpaired adenosine, on the BPS, which initiates a nucleophilic attack at the intronic 5' splice site, thus starting the first of two transesterification reactions that mediate splicing.
Source: Rfam by way of RNAcentral
AUUACUUCUUGGCCUUUUGGCUAAGAUCAAGUAUAGUAUCUGUUCUUAAAAAGGAAGGUGUCAAGAACCUUAUGCAUCAGAAGAAUAUUAAUUAACGGCAAUAUUAUUUUUUGAGGGGGAAAAGACUUCUC